Molecule: long non-coding RNA, 513 nt
Filed under: Mytilus galloprovincialis (Mediterranean mussel)
Lineage: Eukaryota; Metazoa; Mollusca; Bivalvia; Mytilida; Mytilidae
Source: RNAcentral
CUCUCGAUGAAUUUGACAUAUGCACAUGUAUGGUCGACCUAGUUCUAAACCGUACUAGUAUACUCAUACGGUACGUUUGAAGGUAUACUUACGCGUACGGUUCAAAUACUCAUAUUGUCUGGAACAUAUAUACAUGUAGCAUAGUUCAAAUAUUUUUUUUUAUACUUGUACUCAUCAUGGAUAAUACACAAUACAGAACCACAUCAGCGUAUAAUUUAUUCAAUCCAUCUUUUAUUCUGAAACAAAUUCAUUUUCCUUUUUGAAAACAAAACAAAUAUGCAAACCAAUGAGUGAUGGAAAUCUACUGAGCACCACAAAAUGCAUGAAUGUGUGGUAUUCUUUAUCAUUAUUUUGAUUUCAAACAAGAACAUGAUGGUUCAAAGUCUAUUUUUGAGAUUUACGGACCGUUUUGGCUGCUGUGGAGCCUAACAGACACCGAAUGGAAAUCUUACUUAUGUUUUAUAGAUAUUUGCAAAGGAAACUUAAAUGCCAAAUAUAUAGGCUCCAAAUUAU